UCCAGGCCCUACGGGAGGCAGCAGUGGGGAAUUUUCCGCAAUGGGCGAAAGCCUGACGGGGCAACGCCGCGUGAGGGAUGAAGGCCUCUGGGCUGUAAACCUCGUUUAUCAAGGAAGAAGAUCUGACGGUACUUGAUGAAUAAGCCACGGCUAAUUCCGUGCCAGCAGCCGCGGUAAUACGGGAGUGGCAAGCGUUAUCCGGAAUUAUUGGGCGUAAAGCGUCCGCAGGCGGCCCUUCAAGUCUGCUGUUAAAAAGUGGAGCUUAACUCCAUCAUGGCAGUGGAAACUGUUGGGCUUGAGUGUGGUAGGGGCAGAGGGAAUUCCCGGUGUAGCGGUGAAAUGCGUAGAUAUCGGGAAGAACACCAGUGGCGAAGGCGCUCUGCUGGGCCAUCACUGACGCUCAUGGACGAAAGCCAGGGGAGCGAAAGGGAUUAGAUACCCCUGUAGUCCUGGCCGUAAACGAUGAACACUAGGUGUCGGGGGAAUCGACCCCCUCGGUGUCGUAGCCAACGCGUUAAGUGUUCCGCCUGGGGAGUACGCACGCAAGUGUGAAACUCAAAGGAAUUGACGGGGGCCCGCACAAGCGGUGGAGUAUGUGGUUUAAUUCGAUGCAACGCGAAGAACCUUACCAGGGUUUGACAUCCUGCGAAUCUCUUGGAAACGAGAGAGUGCCUUCGGGAGCGCAGUGACAGGUGGUGCAUGGCUGUCGUCAGCUCGUGUCGUGAGAUGUUGGGUUAAGUCCCGCAACGAGCGCAACCCUCGUCUUUAGUUGCCAGCAUUUAGUUGGGCACUCUAGAGAGACCGCCGGUGAUAAACCGGAGGAAGGUGUGGAUGACGUCAAGUCAUCAUGCCCCUUACACCCUGGGCUACACACGUACUACAAUGCUACGGACAAAGGGCAGCAAGUUCGCGAGGACAAGCAAAUCCCAUAAACCGUGGCUCAGUUCAGAUCGUAGGCUGCAACUCGCCUACGUGAAGGAGGAAUCGCUAGUAAUCGCAGGUCAGCAUACUGCGGUGAAUACGUUCCCGGGCCUUGUACACACCGCCCGU
This 1050-nucleotide ribosomal RNA is filed under the name uncultured cyanobacterium. RNAcentral's name for it is "bacterial SSU rRNA". It matches the Rfam family "Bacterial small subunit ribosomal RNA", at positions 330 to 1397 of the family's 1533-position model. The record is from RNAcentral. Lineage: Bacteria; Bacillati; Cyanobacteriota.